GCCCUAGUAACGGCGAGUGAAGCGGCAACAGCUCAAAUUUGAAAUCUGGCUCUUUCAGAGUCCGAGUUGUAAUUUGCAGAGGGCGCUUUGGCUUUGGCAGCGGUCCAAGUUCCUUGGAACAGGACGUCACAGAGGGUGAGAAUCCCGUACGUGGUCGCUAGCUAUUGCCGUGUAAAGCCCCUUCGACGAGUCGAGUUGUUUGGGAAUGCAGCUCUAAAUGGGAGGUAAAUUUCUUCUAAAGCUAAAUAUUGGCCAGAGACCGAUAGCGCACAAGUAGAGUGAUCGAAAGAUGAAAAGCACUUUGGAAAGAGAGUCAAACAGCACGUGAAAUUGUUGAAAGGGAAGCGCUUGCAGCCAGACUUGCUUGCAGUUGCUCAUCCGGGCUUUUGCCCGGUGCACUCUUCUGCAGGCAGGCCAGCAUCAGUUUGGGCGGUGGGAUAAAGGUCUCUGACACGUUCCUUCCUUCGGGUUGGCCAUAUAGGGGAGACGUCAUACCACCAGCCUGGACUGAGGUCCGCGCAUCUGCUAGGAUGCUGGCGUAAUGGCUGUAAGCGGCCCGUCUUGAAACACGGACCAAGGAGUCUAACAUCUAUGCGAGUGUUUGGGUGUCAAGCCCGAGCGCGUAAUGAAAGUGAACGGAGGUGGGAACCCGCAAGGGCGCACCAUCGACCGAUCCUGAAGUUUACGGAAGGAUUUGAGUAAGAGCAUGGCUGUUGGGACCCGAAAGAUGGUGAACUAUGCUUGAAUAGGGUGAAGCCAGAGGAAACUCUGGUGGAGGCUCGCAGCGGUUCUGACGUGCAAAUCGAUC
Molecule: ribosomal RNA, 808 nt
Filed under: Curvularia chonburiensis
Lineage: Eukaryota; Fungi; Ascomycota; Dothideomycetes; Pleosporales; Pleosporaceae
Description: partial 28S large subunit ribosomal RNA
Rfam family: Eukaryotic large subunit ribosomal RNA
Source: RNAcentral